RNAcentral lists this ribosomal RNA (1372 nucleotides) under uncultured bacterium. Its description in RNAcentral is "bacterial SSU rRNA". It matches the Rfam family "Bacterial small subunit ribosomal RNA", at positions 28 to 1381 of the family's 1533-position model. The record is from RNAcentral.
GAUGAACGCUGGCGGCGUGCCUAAUACAUGCAAGCCGAGCGAACGGACGAGAAGCUUGCUUCUCUGAUGUUAGCGGCGGACGGGUGAGUAACACGUGGAUAACCUACCUAUAAGACUGGGAUAACUUCGGGAAACCGGAGCUAAUACCGGAUAAUAUUUUGAACCGCAUGGUUCAAAAGUGAAAGACGGUCUUGCUGUCACUUAUAGAUGGAUCCGCGCUGCAUUAGCUAGUUGGUAAGGUAACGGCUUACCAAGACAACAAUGCAUAGCCGACCUGAGAGGGUGAUCGGCCACACUGGAACUGAGACACGGUCCAGACUCCUACGGGAGGCAGCAGUAGGGAAUCUUCCGCAAUGGGCGAAAGCCUGACGGAGCAACGCCGCGUGAGUGAUGAAGGUCUUCGGAUCGUAAAACUCUGUUAUUAGGGAAGAACAUAUGUGUAAGUAACUGUGCACAUCUUGACGGUACCUAAUCAGAAAGCCACGGCUAACUACGUGCCAGCAGCCGCGGUAAUACGUAGGUGGCAAGCGUUAUCCGGAAUUAUUGGGCGUAAAGCGCGCGUAGGCGGUUUUUUAAGUCUGAUGUGAAAGCCCACGGCUCAACCGUGGAGGGUCAUUGGAAACUGGAAAACUUGAGUGCAGAAGAGGAAAGUGGAAUUCCAUGUGUAGCGGUGAAAUGCGCAGAGAUAUGGAGGAACACCAGUGGCGAAGGCGACUUUCUGGUCUGUAACUGACGCUGAUGUGCGAAAGCGUGGGGAUCAAACAGGAUUAGAUACCCUGGUAGUCCACGCCGUAAACGAUGAGUGCUAAGUGUUAGGGGGUUUCCGCCCCUUAGUGCUGCAGCUAACGCAUUAAGCACUCCGCCUGGGGAGUACGACCGCAAGGUUGAAACUCAAAGGAAUUGACGGGGACCCGCACAAGCGGUGGAGCAUGUGGUUUAAUUCGAAGCAACGCGAAGAACCUUACCAAAUCUUGACAUCCUUUGACAACUCUAGAGAUAGAGCUUUCCCCUUCGGGGGACAAAGUGACAGGUGGUGCAUGGUUGUCGUCAGCUCGUGUCGUGAGAUGUUGGGUUAAGUCCCGCAACGAGCGCAACCCUUAAGCUUAGUUGCCAUCAUUAAGUUGGGCACUCUAAGUUGACUGCCGGUGACAAACCGGAGGAAGGUGGGGAUGACGUCAAAUCAUCAUGCCCCUUAUGAUUUGGGCUACACACGUGCUACAAUGGACAAUACAAAGGGCAGCGAAACCGCGAGGUCAAGCAAAUCCCAUAAAGUUGUUCUCAGUUCGGAUUGUAGUCUGCAACUCGACUACAUGAAGCUGGAAUCGCUAGUAAUCGUAGAUCAGCAUGCUACGGUGAAUACGUUCCCGGGUCU